GUCCCCUACGGGGCGCAGCAGUGGGGGAUAUUGCACAAUGGGGGGGACCCUGAUGCAGCGACGCCGCGUGGGUGAAGAAGCGCCUCGGCGCGUAAAGCCCUGUCAGCAGGGAAGAAAAUGACGGUACCUGAAGAAGAAGCCCCGGCUAACUACGUGCCAGCAGCCGCGGUAAUACGUAGGGGGCAAGCGUUAUCCGGAUUUACUGGGUGUAAAGGGGGCGCAGACGGCGAUGCAAGACAGGCGUGAAAGCCCGGGGCCCAACCCCGGGGCGGCUCUUGGAACUG
RNAcentral lists this ribosomal RNA (284 nucleotides) under uncultured bacterium. RNAcentral's name for it is "partial 16S ribosomal RNA". It matches the Rfam family "Bacterial small subunit ribosomal RNA", at positions 334 to 635 of the family's 1533-position model. The record is from RNAcentral.